This 253-nucleotide ribosomal RNA is filed under the name uncultured bacterium. RNAcentral's name for it is "partial 16S ribosomal RNA". It matches the Rfam family "Bacterial small subunit ribosomal RNA", at positions 524 to 776 of the family's 1533-position model. The record is from RNAcentral.
UACGAAGGGGGCUAGCGUUGUUCGGAAUUACUGGGCGUAAAGGGCGCGUAGGCGGUGUGUCAAGUCAGGCGUGAAAGCCCCGGGCUCAACCUGGGAACCGCGCUUGAGACUGGCACGCUAGAGUUCGGGAGAGGAUGGUGGAAUUCCCAGUGUAGAGGUGAAAUUCGUAGAUAUCGAGAGGAACACCGGUGGCGAAGGCGGCCAACUGGACGAAUACUGACGCUGAGACUCGAAAGCGUGGGGAGCAAACAGG